GAUGGCGACCGGCGCACGGGUGAGUAACACGUAUCCAACCUACCGUUUACUCUCGGAUAGCCUUCCGAAAGGAAGAUUAAUACGGGAUGGCAUUACGGUUUCACAUGAUAUCGUAAUUAAAGAAUUUCGGUAAACGAUGGGGAUGCGUUCCAUUAGAUAGUAGGCGGGGUAACGGCCCACCUAGUCGACGAUGGAUAGGGGUUCUGAGAGGAAGGUCCCCCACAUUGGAACUGAGACACGGUCCAAACUCCUACGGGAGGCAGCAGUGAGGAAUAUUGGUCAAUGGACGAGAGUCUGAACCAGCCAAGUAGCGUGAAGGAUGAAGGUCCUAUGGAUUGUAAACUUCUUUUAUACAGGAAUAAAGUGAGCCACGUGUGGCUUUUUGUAUGUACUGUAUGAAUAAGCAUCGGCUAACUCCGUGCCAGCAGCCGCGGUAAUACGGAGGAUGCGAGCGUUAUCCGGAUUUAUUGGGUUUAAAGGGAGCGCAGACGGUUUGUUAAGUCAGUUGUGAAAGUUUGGGGCUCAACCUUAAAAUUGCAAUUGAUACUGGCAGACUUGAGUGCAGAUGAGGUAGGCGGAAUUCGUGGUGUAGCGGUGAAAUGCUUAGAUAUCACGAAGAACUCCGAUU
RNAcentral lists this ribosomal RNA (628 nucleotides) under uncultured Bacteroidales bacterium. RNAcentral's name for it is "bacterial SSU rRNA". It matches the Rfam family "Bacterial small subunit ribosomal RNA", at positions 87 to 714 of the family's 1533-position model. Lineage: Bacteria; Pseudomonadati; Bacteroidota; Bacteroidia; Bacteroidales. The record is from RNAcentral.